Molecule: ribosomal RNA, 405 nt
Filed under: uncultured bacterium
Lineage: Bacteria
Description: partial 16S ribosomal RNA
Rfam family: Bacterial small subunit ribosomal RNA
Source: RNAcentral
GACGAACGCUGGCGGCGUGCUUAACACAUGCAAGUCGAACGAAGUGGCGAACGGGUGAGUAAUACGUGGGUAACUGCCCUCCUUUUUGGGAUAAGCCUUGGAAACGGGGUCUAAUACCGAAUAAAGGGGGAUGGCUCGCGGCCUAUCAGCUUGGUGGUGGGGUAGUGGCCUACCAAGGCGACGACGGGUAGCCGGCCUGAGAGGGCGACCGGCCACAUUGGGCUGGGGUCCGGCCCCAACUCCUCCGGGAGGCAGCAGUGGGGAAUUUUGCACAAUGGUGGAAACCCUAAUGCAGCAACGCCGCGUGCGGGAUGACGGCCUUCGGGUUGUAAUCCGCUUUUAGCCAUGACGCGGUGGUGGCAGAAGAAGCACCGGCUAACUACGUGCCAGCAGCCGCGGUAAUUC